AUCUUCAGGGCAGGGUGAGAUUCCCGACCGGCGGUAAAAGUCCGCGACCCUUACUCAGCGUAAGUUGGAUAAGGCUGAUUCGGUGUAAUUCCGAAACCGACAGUAUAGUCUGGAUGGAAGAAGAUG
This 126-nucleotide non-coding RNA is filed under the name human gut metagenome. Its description in RNAcentral is "FMN riboswitch (RFN element)". It matches the Rfam family "FMN riboswitch aptamer (RFN element)". Rfam says of the family: The RFN element is a highly conserved domain that is found frequently in the 5'-untranslated regions of prokaryotic mRNAs that encode for flavin mononucleotide (FMN) biosynthesis and transport proteins. This element is a metabolite-dependent riboswitch that directly binds FMN in the absence of proteins. The record is from RNAcentral.